GGGAUUUCGGGCUCCAGCAGCACGCAGCCUCCAGUCUUGAGUGACUCCUGGGCUUUGGCUCAGCAGUAACUCCUCCAUAAAAACAAGUGUGUGCAUCUGGCUGUUAGAAGAAUUCAUGCUCAUCCGGGAAAAAUGAGGAAGCUGUGAGUACCAGUGGAAGGAACGAGCCAGGAAGAGGGACUGGAACCAUCUCAGAAGCCAUGCCCCUCAGGCUGGAACUUGCCCUGUCUCCUCGCAGAUGAGGUAGGAGGCUCAGCACGGGCUGGUGGGAGCAGCCCACAGCAGCAGUGAGGGUCAGUGGGCCUGUGAGUUAAGAAGAAGGUGGCACAGAGCGAGGGUCUCUGGAUCCUGACUGUUUGACUUUUCCAUGAUUAGGAUAAGUAGCCAGGGCUUGGCUAGUUGGAGAGUUACUCGAACCUCAGGUGACAGUUGUAAGGCAGCACAUAGUGAAAAAGAGUCCUAGCCUGGGAAAGUCCAAAACCUUAGGUCUGGUUUCAGUUCACUCACCUAUCUCUGUGACAUAGCAAAGUCUGUUAAUUUCUCUAAUUUUCUGAUUAGUAGUAUAGUUGCAGGAAUGAAAUAAAAAUGGUCCUGAUUACUCAGAGAUUCAUUUACUGAUUACUCUUUUUGUGACCUGAAUAAAGAGUACAACAUCUCUCAAAAGGUAACAAUAUGAUGUUUCAGGAAAUUAGAGAAGUUAAGAGACUUUGCUGUAUUUACUAUACAGAUAGUUGACUGACAGCUGAGCCCGGACCCAAGAUUCAUUUAUAAAAUGAAGGAGUUGAGAAGUACAUACUCUGAGGUUUAUCCUAAAUAAACUGAAGUCUAGGCAAGUGGCUGAGCUAGGUUUGCCAUGAAUCAAUCUGCUGAGUAUAUUUCUUGGUAACUAGUUCAUCUUUCCUUAAUUCAGUCAACAAAUAUGAUAUCAAGUUUAGUAAGAUGAUGACAGUUGUCAUGUAAUACUCCAUCUGGAAGAUUGUAUGCUUCUCAGCUUCCCUAACUUUUCUUAAUCUACCUUAAGCUUCCUUUCUGAAAGGUUUCUGUCUUUCCUAACAGUCUCUUCUUUCCGCCAGCUACCUCUUGUGUUUAAGAAUUAAAGGAAGAUGAGCUAGGAAUCAAGAAAUACGCAGAACUGAUUCCUGUCACUGGCGCCACCCUGCCACUUGCCCAGAGCUGUGGUAUAAAUUUUUUUAAUAGGCUGAAAUAAAAAUAUGAAUAGCAUUUUGGUAUUAAGCAUUAAAUUGAUAAAGGCUAUGAGAUACACCUGCUCUCAACCAUGUUAAUUUUUUAUUAUUGGUAUUAAUAAAUUAUUACUUACUAACAUAUUAACAAGAAUUGCAUUGAGAAACAAAGCAUCCACAGGCCAAAUCUUCUGAAUUUCAAAUGUUUAUAUUAAUGCGUUGUAUUCUAGAAAAGUAGAAUUGUCUUAAGUAGCUUUGUAAUAUAAAGUCAUCUAUCAGCCCAUUACACCUAUUAGAAUGUUUUAACCUUUAUUUCCCACUUUUUUGUUUCUAGACUGAGUGUACUUGGUCUGGUAUUUGUGGCAUAACUUACGGAACACAUAAGAAUGAUACAGAUACUAUUUAAUGAUGACCUAAUACAAGCUUAGAUAGCUAAGGUGAAAGCUUCUAUGGCCUUAACAUUUUCCUCUUGAAGAAUGUAUUUUCUGUAAUAAAAUACAGUGGCUACUUGAAAUCUAUAAACUUAUGUGAGGUCUGGAUAAAUCUGAGCAACUUUCUUCUUUGUGCUCCAGGAACCUACGCACUAUAUAUAUAAAUAAAGCUUAAGUAAACAUCACUGCAAUCUGUGUUUUGUUUGAUUAUAUUACGUAUUGCCUGAUCUUUAAAUAAUGAUGAAAAAUAGCCUUUAACAUAAACCAUGAAUGGAUAUGCACUUGAGGGAAACAGUUUCUUGGAUAAUUAAACUUUAAUUUCUCACCGUGGAUUCCUUGGAUCUUGUAAUAUUUUUUAAAACAGUCCUGGGGAUUUAUUUUUAAGGCGUCCAAAUGAAUUAUUAGUUCUCAAAAGCCAUAGUAUAUUCAUGGGUCGAUAUAUCCUCAAAACACUAUUUUUAAACUGCUUAGUUUAUUUUUCUUAGCGUGCUCAUCUGCUGCAUAAUUUUCUUUGCUAUGUAUGGGUCACAUGCUUCCUCCCGUCCAUAACUCACGCACUUAAAAUUCUCACUUCCUGAUUGAGCCAUCAGAUUACGUAAAAUGUAAAUCAGCCUGAAUACCUAGGAGCAGGAAUUUUAAGGGAGAAAAUGCCGUUUUCUUUUUCUGUGUCAUUAUUAACCCUUAAAUAUCAGAGUGAGUGUCUGCUCACCUAUUUGUAUUUGGAAACGAGAUACUGUUAGGGGUUUUUCUUGGCCCUUCCCUUUCAGAUUGAAUCAGACUUUGCUGCUUUCCUUAUACAAAAUAAUGUACCAACUAGAUAGACGGUGGGAGUGGUAUCGUUGCAGGAAUGAAACCAAAAGGGUUCCGAUGAUUGAGAGAGAUUCAUUUAUUUUUUAACUCUUCUCAUGAUCUGAAUGAAGAGUACAGCAUCUAUCAAAAGGUAACAACCUAAUAUUUCAGAAUUGCAAGUGGCCAUUUAGCCUUUCUGCUGCCUGAUAUAAAUGAAAGUAAUUCCUAGCAGGCAGGAUGACACUUGUUUUAUCACGAAUCUGACAAUCCAGCACAUUUUCUCAAGCAAUUUUGAAGUUGUCGUAGUAACAGCAUGGCAUUUGGAGGGUCUUUUUAGUAGUUCUUUAGCUAGAGUUAAUUAAUUGUAUUAACUCUGGAUGUUUUUCUUUUUACUCCUCUUUGACAAACAAGGGCUAUAAUUGCUCAAAUAUGUAUUUUGUGUUCUAUAUUUUUUGGUGACUAUAGUUUAAGGACGUGAUGUUUUUAAGUGGUUUCAGUAAAAGGUUAUCAGUUGAUUUCAGACACAUUAAACUUGGGUUUUUAAUUUCUCUGUAAAAUUCCACUAUCAUUGUAGGACCAGGAUUUAGUUUUAUUUAAGAAGUGAAUCUGGGGAGAUAUUUGCACAAAUUGAAUUGUGGCUUGCUUCCAGUGGUUGCAACUAUCCGUUGCUUUGAUUUUGGUGUAUUUAGAAAAAGAACUGGGGAAUGCAGAAAGGGAAAUGUGUCAGGCUUACAGGAGAAAAUUGUUUCUUUAGAAAUGCAACAGGCAGGCACACCACCAAAAGCAUGUUCCAUAAAAGAAAACAAAUAAAUUUGAUUUUGUGAAACUUAAGAAUGCAGUGCUCUUUGAAACUCUAAAAUAUACUUAAAUAAAUUCUCCCCUAGGAAGAUUUGUGGGAACUUUUUAUUGGUGGAAAGUAGGUUGGAACUUCUAGUAUUAAUAGUAAAACUCUGUGGCAGAAAUUCUUGCCAAUAUGGCGGUUGGUGAGAAAGGAAUCCCGUUUCUUGGGCAGGGAGAGGGUCAGAAGAAAGAAUUGUCUGUACUCAGUCUGGAUGCCGGGACUUAAAAAGUAUCAGAUAUACAAUGCUUUUGUUUUCUUGUAUAAGUGAACAGAGAGAUGUGACACUUCUAAAAGGUCUUGUGAGUUUUGUGGGUUUAAUGCUAAUGCCACUAUCCUUACUGUUCUGUGAGUAUUUGUUCAGCCACGGGUGAUUCAAGAGAGUUGGGGUAUCAGCAUGUGCAGCCAACAGCAGUCCAGGUGCUAAUGCACCACCGGUGAUGUCAGGAGUUACGAGACAGCGGUUUCCAAACACUGCAGUAAACAAGGUCAAAGUGUCCCGUUUCGCUGGAAGAAGUUUUGUUUUUAUGAGCUGGACAGUACAUGGAUGAAAAGAAAUGAAAAUAACUUCUGAUGUAGGGUUUCUUAAAUGCAGUUUGAGAGAGCAAGAUAGGAACCAGUACUUUCAAAAUAUGGCAAGUGCAAGUCACAAUCCCUAGUAAGAUAUUCCUUCUCAUUUUGUGCCUUUGACUCUUAUUUAGACAGACGUUUAAGUACGAGAAAGCUAAUGGCGCAGAUUCUGCUGACUGUGUGGCUCUCGUCUUAAUGCGUUUUCCAACCUUGAACCUGAGAAUGCCAGAGGAUUGAGUCUCUGGACGUUCAUCUGAGCAGAUAUCUGCUGGCCGCCUGGUUCCUGAGCUAACAAGUGGGUGUCCCGGGCUUGUGUGUGUAGUCACAACAGUGGAGGUGCCACGUGGCACCCAGAGGUCGACUGGGGCUACCGCGGGGCUUCCCGAUCCUCACAAGUGUGUCUUCAGUGUCUGACAUGAACUGGGAACUUGGGGCAUCUUUAGAAGCACAGACAUUUGGAGUUCCACGGCAAACCUGGAUGUAAGCACUCACACAGCUUUUAAAGUGAAAGCAGGGACCUUGAGGAAGGAAUCGCCGUCAUCUCAUUGCCGACCUGCUUACUGUGCUGGGAAACAAAGUAAGUUCUGUUUGUUUCUUUGUUAGUCUCUCCUGCGUGUUUUUUCUUGCUAAUGUUAUUAGACACUCAAUAUCCGGCAAAUGCCAAGUUUUUUCCCCUUCAUUGGGAAGUAGGAUAUAGUUUAUUCAAUAGCUGAUUGCUUCUUUUAUCUUUUCCCUCUUCCCAUAUCUAGUGUGCCGGCUUGCUGUUUAGAGAUAGGAAGAGAUUGAAAUUUAUUAUCAAGGAGAAAACAAAAAGUGUUUUGUUUUGUUUCUAAAUGGUCCAAGAACUUUGCCAUUAGGUAAAUGACUAUGACACAGACAAGGCGUUUUGCAUGGUAUGACCAGGAGCACCUCUAGCAAAACAGCCCCAGUUCGCCGCCCUGAUUUCCAUUUGGAAGCAGGCACAGUGGGUUUCCCCAGGACCGAUGUUAACGCAGAGGGUCCUUGUGCAGGAAUUGUGCAGAAACUAGGUGGGAAGGUGUCACAGACAAGAGGCUGCAAUUUAAAAACGCAUCAGGAAAUGGAAAAGAGCUGCGAGAAUAUCAAUUAUUUAAUGAUGUUGAUAAAAACAAAUUUAAUAUAAAAAUGAGAUACAAUGUAUAGAGACCUAACCCUGUCAACAGCAACUAAACUUUACUUUCAUGUUAGAAAGUUUUGUGCCAUGUAGAUUUAUGGAAAAUGUGCUUAAUUGCCUCUAGAAAAUAAUGAAGAGGCUUCGUCACCUCCAUAGAAGAUCCUGUGACACUAGCCUAAUUCUGACACAUGGCUCCUGUUUUCCAUUUUGUUUGUUUUUUUAUGCUGAUCCUCUCUCCAGAGAUGUGAUGUGGAUUGAUUAACUUGUAAUAUAAAGUUCUAUGGUUUCUGAAAAUGCAGAGCAAAUAGAGAUGAAGAGUGGUUUGUGAUUUGUUAUUAAAUGAUCUUCCCUUCUACAUUUAGGACUGAUUUUUACUGUAGAAUUUUUUUUUUUUUUUUUUUUUUUUUUUUUUGUCAACUUGAACAGCAAUACCUUGAAGGUAAAAGGUGGGAGCACGACUGGAGUGUGGAACUGGAAAGCAGAAACCAGGGGUGUUACUUCUAUGUCUAGUAUGGAAUGUUGUGAAUUUAAGUUAGAGCUUCUGUGUCCUGGGAAUUCAUAUUUUAUCUCAAAGUGGUGCUGAUAGGACUGGAGGUAGCUGUAUUUCAUUUGAAACAUUCCAGCCUCUUUAUAGGAAUAUCUGUGAAUUUUUAAUUCAGCAAACAUCUUUAAGUGUGUCAUUUAUGUAUAGCGUUGUAGUCAGAGCUGUAAUUGUUUCACCAUUAAAUUUACGGAAAUUCAGUUUGUAAGUGAAAAAUUAAGAACAGUUUGAAAGAAGGGCGAAUGAGCAGAGCAUUGCCAUCUAAACAGUCUUGUUAAAGAUAGUGCCAAGUGAGCAGGACUGUCCCUUCUAAGCUGCCCCUCCUAAUUAAAGGGAAAGGUGGCUGCCAUCUGUCUUCUU
This 5842-nucleotide long non-coding RNA is filed under the name Homo sapiens (human). RNAcentral's name for it is "non-protein coding LINC-PINT:70". Lineage: Eukaryota; Metazoa; Chordata; Mammalia; Primates; Hominidae. The record is from RNAcentral.